This is a long non-coding RNA of Manis javanica (Malayan pangolin), 1303 nucleotides long. RefSeq lists it as uncharacterized. The record is from RefSeq and is a predicted model, not a curated record. NCBI's taxonomy places the organism in Eukaryota, Metazoa, Chordata, Mammalia, Pholidota, Manidae.
CCCAGUGUGGGGUAGGAAGGGCACAGGUAAAGGGAUAAAGGAACCCCACAUCUUUUCUCAUCUACAAACCUUGUGAAUUUUUGUACCUUGGGCGUGUAUUACCUAGUCAAAAUUAAAUACAUAAAUAAAACUGAUGAUUACAAGACAAAAUAAAAUGGAGAGAUCGAGGUUGAAUAAAAUGAUUUCUAGAUGUAGCGAUAAAAUCAGAAGGUACAGCCCACGCUAUGGGAGGGGAAGAGCCAGUGGGAUAUGGAUACAGUAGGUUUUCUGUUGGGAGUCUGUUUGGACUACAGUGUCUGAUUUAAAGAAAAAAGCCAAAUGGUAUUUUGAUAAGAUUUAAACAUUUUCUGUUUCUGAAAUCCAGGUUCUGGGGCUGGAGGGGUAAGCAAGGUUCCCAGCUCCCAGCUCCUAUCUCCCAAGCAGGAUUUAACACCACAGCUGGAAACAAAUUGGAGAACCCCUACCCGCCCACCUCUUUCAGUGAGAGAGAGGCAGGACCCCUUCCUCAUCCUGGCUGGGAGUCAACAGAUAAAUGCAGGAAAGGAUUAUUACUGAGAGAAGCAACAGCGUCCGAAGUGGUUGCCUUGAGAGUGGGAUUUGGGGGCGGGUCAGGAUUGCUUUCUAUUGUAAGCCUAUUUUACUUUCUAAAAUCGUGACACGUAAAUGCAGAGAACACAUCUCUGUGCUGGUUGCGAAACAAUUAUAAAGCCAACACGUGUUGCGUCCCAAGUUUGGUCACUUUCAAAAAAAAGAAAAGCACGUGCACGCAUUACUGAUUGUAAAAAAGAACGGGGAAGGAAAGGGAAAUUCCAGGUGGGAGCUGGGUUCUCCUUUCACCGCAAGACCGAGCCUAGAUCUGAAAGGAUAGUUUGGAAACUCCUUCCUGCGAAUGUCUGAUCCCAGAUUGGCAAGGGCAGAGCACCACUAGAUUCUGUCUUCUCACUGCUGGGAGACAAAUGGGGAGACAAAUGGACCCAGCAAGGAACAGCAACAGGCCAAGGUUAUUUGGAACUCCAGAGGACAGCCGAAGCAGCAGAAGCCCCACUUAACAGGUAAGGGAACAGAAGACCCAGAGAGGUUGAGUCACUGGCACAAAGGAACAGCCAGGAAACUGUGGGGCCAGGAUUUGACUUCCAGCUGCCUCAGGGGCCAGGUGUAGACAGCUGCCUUUCCUGCUGUUCAUCCUCUGUAGAUGCAGCAACUGAGGAACAGGGACGUUAAGCCACCUGCCACACGCAGCUAUUUAAGUACUAGAACCAAGACUGGAAUCAGGGUGCUGCAGCCCCCAGGUGCACAUCGCCAA